Molecule: non-coding RNA, 124 nt
Organism: Triticum aestivum (bread wheat)
Lineage: Eukaryota; Viridiplantae; Streptophyta; Magnoliopsida; Poales; Poaceae
Source: Rfam
CAACUACUCCCUCUAUCCCAAAUUUCUUGUCUUAGAUUUGUCUAGAUACGGAUGUAUUUGUGACUUGAUACAUCCGUAUCUAGACAAAUCUAAGAAAAGAAUUUUGGGACGGAGGGAGUACUUU